AAACGAUGAUGAUGAUGAUGAUGAUGAUGAUGAUGAUGGAUCAUAGAGAUCAACGUAUAUUCCCAAUUAAAAUGACCUUUAUCAUCUUUAUUAUCAUCAAAAGGCAUCAUCA
RNAcentral lists this microRNA precursor (112 nucleotides) under Bigelowiella natans CCMP2755. RNAcentral's name for it is "miRNA EPrBNAG00000013414". Lineage: Eukaryota; Cercozoa; Chlorarachniophyceae. The record is from RNAcentral.